AGCAGCCGCGGUAAUUCCAGCUCCAAUAGCGUAUAUUAAAGUUGUUGCAGUUAAAAAGCUCGUAGUUGAAUUUCGGGAUCAAUAUGUUGGUCGUGCCUUGGUACGUACUGGCAUUAUCGAUUCCUACCUUCUGAAGAACCUCGAUGUCAUUAAUUUGGUGUCUAGGGGAAUCAGGACUGUUACUUUGAAAAAAUUAGAGUGUUUAAAGCAGGCUCGCGCUUGAAUACAUUAGCAUGGAAUAAUGAAAUAGGACGUUUGAUUCUAUUUUGUUGGUUUCUAGGAUCGACGUAAUGAUUAAUAGGGAUAGUUGGGGGCAUUAGUAUUCAAUUGUCAGAGGUGAAAUUCUUGGAUUUAUUGAAGACUAACUACUGCGAAAGCAUUUGCCAAGGAUGUUUUCAUUAAUCAAGAACGAAAGUUAGGGGAUCGAAGACGAUCAGAUACCGUCGUAGUCUUAACCAUAAACUAUGCCGA
This 471-nucleotide ribosomal RNA is filed under the name uncultured Glomus. Its description in RNAcentral is "SSU rRNA". It matches the Rfam family "Eukaryotic small subunit ribosomal RNA", at positions 569 to 1045 of the family's 1831-position model. The record is from RNAcentral. Lineage: Eukaryota; Fungi; Glomeromycota; Glomeromycetes; Glomerales; Glomeraceae.